AGAGGGGGCAAGCGUUGCUCGGAAUUACUGGGCGUAAAGGGCGCGUAGGCGGGAUGGCAAGUCGGUCGUGAAAUCCUUCGGCUCAACCGAAGAACGUCGAUCGAUACUGCUGUUCUUGAGGGUUGCAGAGGAGACUGGAAUUCCCGGUGUAGCGGUGAAAUGUGUAGAGAUCGGGAGGAACACCGGUGGCGAAGGCGGGUCUCUGGGCAAUUCCUGACGCUGAGGCGCGAAAGCGUGGGGAGCAAACGGGAUUAGAUACCCCGGUAGUCCACGCUGUAAACGAUGGANGANUAGGUGUGGGGGGGUUCAGUCCCCUCCGUGCCGCAGCUAACGCAUUAAGUCGUCCGCCUGGGGAGUACGGCCGCAAGGUUG
This 372-nucleotide ribosomal RNA is filed under the name uncultured bacterium. RNAcentral describes it as "bacterial SSU rRNA". It matches the Rfam family "Bacterial small subunit ribosomal RNA", at positions 527 to 896 of the family's 1533-position model. The record is from RNAcentral.